This 198-nucleotide ribosomal RNA is filed under the name uncultured bacterium. RNAcentral describes it as "partial 16S ribosomal RNA". It matches the Rfam family "Bacterial small subunit ribosomal RNA", at positions 1294 to 1500 of the family's 1533-position model. The record is from RNAcentral.
CGGAUCGGAGUCUGCAACCCGACUCCGUGAAGCUGGAUUCGCUAGUAAUCGCGCAUCAGCCAUGGCGCGGUGAAUACGUUCCCGGGCCUUGUACACACCGCCCGUCAAGCCAUGGAAGCCGGGGGCGCUUGAAGUGCGUUGCCGCAAGGCGCGCCCUAGAGCGAAACCGGUGACUGGGCUAAGUCGUAACAAGGUACC